Molecule: transfer RNA, 74 nt
Filed under: archaeon
Lineage: Archaea
Also listed under: 2 other names
Description: tRNA-Arg
Rfam family: tRNA
About the family: Transfer RNA (tRNA) molecules are approximately 80 nucleotides in length.
Source: RNAcentral
GGGCCCGUGGCCAAGUUGGAUAUGGCGUCGGCCUUCUAAGCCGAAGAUCCCGGGUUCGAAUCCCGGCGGGUCCG